This 276-nucleotide small RNA is filed under the name uncultured Methanomassiliicoccus sp. RNAcentral's name for it is "5' ureB small RNA". Lineage: Archaea; Methanobacteriati; Thermoplasmatota; Thermoplasmata; Methanomassiliicoccales; Methanomassiliicoccaceae. The record is from RNAcentral.
CUGCUGCGGACAGAUCAUAUGAAUAUGGCAGUCUAAGAAACCAGGCGUAAGAAUGCAGCCUUCUCCUGAAGAUACUUCAGUAGCAGCGCUUACAACCAGAUUCUCAUCAACAUUAUCCAUGACUCCAGGAUUUCCGGCCUUGCCUACUCCUGCGACCUUGCCGUUUCUGAAUCCUACGUCGCCUUUUACUAUUCCCAGCACAGGAUCUAAAACCACUACGUUGGUAAUCACGUGGUCGAGAGCUCCGUCAGCCUGUGUGGCUCCAGGACUCAUUCC